Molecule: unclassified non-coding RNA, 339 nt
Filed under: soil metagenome
Description: partial contains 5.8S ribosomal RNA, internal transcribed spacer 2, and large subunit ribosomal RNA
Rfam family: 5.8S ribosomal RNA (bases 1-120)
Source: RNAcentral
GAUGAAGAACGUAGCGAAAUGCGAUACGUAGUGUGAAUUGCAGAAUUCAGUGAAUCAUCGAAUCUUUGAACGCACAUUGCACCUUUCGGUAUUCCGGGAGGUAUGCCUGUUCGAGCGUCAUUUGUACCCUCAAGCUCUGCUUGGUGUUGGGUGUUUGUUCCGCCUCUGUGUGUGAACUCGCCUCAAAACAAUUGGCAGCCGGCGUACUUGUUUCGGAGCGCAGCACAUUUUGCGAUCCAGAUCAACGUACAGCGGCAUCCAAGAAGCCUUAUUUAACGCUCUUGACCUCGGAUCAGGUAGGGAUACCCGCUGAACUUAAGCAUAUCAAUAAGCGGAGGA